Molecule: long non-coding RNA, 599 nt
Organism: Oncorhynchus tshawytscha (Chinook salmon)
Lineage: Eukaryota; Metazoa; Chordata; Actinopteri; Salmoniformes; Salmonidae
Source: Ensembl
CUUCUCUCCUGUAUUCUGUUCUACUAUUCUCUCUCUCUCUCUGUGUAGUUUAAGUUGUCUCUCCUGUAUUCUGUUCUACUAUUCUCUCUCUCUCUCUGUAGUUUAAGUUGUUUCUCCUGUAUUGUGUUCUACUAUUCUCUCUCUCUGUGUAGUUUAAGUCUUCUCUCCUGUAUUAUGUUUUACUAUCUCUCUCUCUCUCUCUCUCUCUCUCUCUCUGUGUAGUUUAAGUCUUCUCUCCUGUAUUAUGUUUUACUAUUCUCUCUCUCUCUCUGUGUAGUUUAUGUCUUCUCUCCUGUAUUCUGUUUUACUAUCUCUCUCUCUCUCUCUCUCUCUCUCUCUCUCUCUCUCUCUGUGUAGUUUAAGUCUUCUCUCCUGUAUUCUGUUCUACUAUUCUCUCUCUCUCUCUGUGUAUUUUAAGUCAUCUCUCCUGUAUUCUGUUUUACUAUCUCUCUCUCCCUCUCUCUCUGUAUUUUAAGUCAUCUCUCCUGUAUUCUGUUUUACUAUCUCUCUCUCUCUCUCUCUUUCUCUUCUCUCUCUCUCUCUCUCUCUCUCUCUCUCUCUCUGUAGUUUUAAGUCUUCUCUCCUGUAUUCUGUUUUAC